UAUCACAUCGUCAUGACAACCACCAUACCAUCAUCAUCAUCAUCAUCAUCAUCUCAGCCUCUGAUACUUGCGUCUUGUGCUAUAGAAUAGUAUAUAAUUCUGUGGCUCACCCUCAGCAUCCUCCCUAGAACUGUGCUAUACGAUAGGGUAGCCAGUAGUCACAUGUGGCUACUGAGAACUUGAAAUGUAGCUCGUUCAAACUGAGAUGUGCCAUAAGAAUACAAGCUCGAUUUAGAAGACUUAGCACCAAAAAAAGACACUUCAAGUUCCCAAAAGGAGGAAAAAGAAAGGAUAAGAUAUGACAAUAUAAUCAGCAGUCGUGAGUUCCUGCUCUUCCUCAGAACAAUUCCUCUGGCCAAGGAGUAGAGAAAAAACACAGAAAGCCCUAAAACCCAGGCCCAUAGACCCUCAAAGGCUCUUCGACCAGCCAUAUCGCCAUCCUACAGUCACAGAAUUACUUAGUCAGAAAAUCUGGCCAAGAUUCCAGAUGCCAACUCAAAUGCUUUCUCCACUAAAGAACAAAAGAGUGACAGAACUGUGAAUACACACAUAACAUGCACACAAGUACUUCUUAAACUACCACAGUCACAAAAAAAUGCUGUCGUCCAGGAAAAAGAAAAACGAGUUACAUUGGGUAUUGGAACAUUGGAACCAUUGUAAGGCAGUAUCCACUCAAAGGCAAAGCUCAUGGAAGUUUUUUCCAAAUCAAACUUCAUCUGUCUUACAUUUGGUGGGAUUCCUCCAAGAUUCUGGCACGUGUUUGUCUUUCUUUCUUUCGUAGUAAGGGAAUGUAGAUUUGAGAGAAAGAAGAAAGGAGAAAGAUUGAAGAGCGAGAUUAUACCACCAGAGCGAAGAGAUGGUACCACCAUUAGUGAAAAAGAAAUCAGAGAACACAAAAGACAAAGGAUGAAGACUAAAAGCAAGCUUUGCCCGCAUUAGUUUUGCUUAGAGUUAACCCUUGCCCAACUCCCUGUUAGUCUACAAAUGAUCUCUUAUCUACUCUAAGUCGUGACAUGAGUCCAUUGAUAAAGUCCUGUGGGGGGAUGCAGUGUCUGAUCAAACAAUGCUCAGGAGGCAGAGUUCAUUGACCAUGUCCAGUUGUUGAGUAUAUUUCGAGGUUUUGAGAUGUUCUAUUUGCCACAGCUUUCAACUGGACUUUGUUUCUCUGAACCUGGGUGUGCAAAUGAAAAAAAAAUCAUUAAAAACAAAGCUCUACAAAGACAGACAACUGGUAUUUUUUCCCUUCUGUAUUCCUGGCAUUUAGGAGAGUGUUUGGCAC
This 1279-nucleotide long non-coding RNA is filed under the name Equus caballus (horse). RNAcentral's name for it is "lncRNA (ENSECAG00000045524.1)". The record is from RNAcentral. Lineage: Eukaryota; Metazoa; Chordata; Mammalia; Perissodactyla; Equidae.